This is a long non-coding RNA of Pseudopipra pipra, 7568 nucleotides long. RefSeq lists it as uncharacterized. Lineage: Eukaryota; Metazoa; Chordata; Aves; Passeriformes; Pipridae. The record is from RefSeq and is a predicted model, not a curated record. The transcript has 8 exons.
CUAGUAAAUUCUUAGGGGCUUUCAUGUCUCUUUUCCUGAUGUGCUAAGUUGGACACUGUCUAGAAAUUUUUUGGUUGCAUAUAGGAAUUAAUUCUGCAAGCCUUAAUAUCCAAAAUAUUAUUCCAUCUUUAUCAUUGAGGGGAUGUUCUGCAUAGUAGGAGCCUCAACUGACCUCUGCAGUGCAGGGCUGUGCUCAAUGGGCAAGCAGUGCUGCCUUCAGCACCAUGAUCCAGCUGGGGCUGCAGACAUCACCCGAGCUCUUCAAGCAAAUCCAAAUAGGCAGCUUUUACCCACCCCUGAGUGGUACCUGCCUUAUGCUUUCAGUACGAGGCUGCAUGGCACAACAUGCACUCGGUGCUCUGGCAUGGAGGGAAGCAGGAGCUGAGCAGCUGAUGCUGGGGCAGGAAGAGGGACUAGAAAGGUGGUUGAUCCUCCAGCUGCUGCAAGGGUGACUGCUGGUCAUCCUGCCACUGCUCCACCCCUGGCUGCAUAGGGGAUGUGCUUUCCUAUGCCUGCCAUGCUGGGGAAUGGCACAUUGCCUGCCCUGUCCUAAGGCGCCGUGCUUCCUGAUCUCUUCCUCCAGAUUUUGCCUUCAUUUAAGACAUUUAUUGCCUUCAAAUUGUCCCUAGGUCCAGGGAGAGACUCGAGAAACAUAGCUGAACACAUUAGACUAGAGCAAAGUGAAUGUCAUUACCCCACAUGCCUGUGGAUGCAGCUGUAUGAGGCUUCUGUCAAAUCACCUGCUACUCCAUCCCUUCCUGCGUGAAGUUGGGCUGUAGAAGAAUAUUUCAACUACCCUAAUAGUUAAAAAAACGCCUGCUAGUUGUUUAUUGUUCAAGCAUUCCUGCUGCUUCCCAGUAGUUAAUGGAGGAAAUGCCAUGGGAGCCAAGGGAGAAACUGGUCAAGGGAAGCAGAAUAAAUUAGGAUCAUUUUUUCACCCUGGCUCAUCCUGGGACAUCCAGUUGUUUCACACGAGCAUUGGAGCUGGGAGGUUGCAUUCAGAUGUGGCCAAGAGAACUGGAUCUUGGCUCUAAAGCUGCUGCUCCCUUCGGUGGGAUGCGGGAGGUGGGAUGGCUGAAGGGCAUGGCUGGAGAAAGGAGCAUGCUCCCAUGCAGUGGGCCUGAGUGUUGUGUGAGCAUACUGCUGGUAGCCUGCCAGGGCUGCUGCUGACCUGGUGGAGAAGCUGCCUGUUUCAUCCCUAGGCAAAGCACGCCUUUUCCUCCCUUCAGCCGCUUCCUGGAAGGUCUUAGUUCCUAAAAGGUAAACUUCGAGCUGUUCUUCAGAUGUUCUCCGCUUUUUCUCUCUCAGCUCAUAUGUGCUCCAGCAGCCAGCCCCCGGCGCAAGGGCCUCUGCGUGGAGCCGCGGAGCUGCGCGGAGAGUCCUGCCCGGCUCCCGCCGCUGGAGGGCAGUGGCCGCAUGCCCAGCGCCCCGGCGCCCCCCGCGGGGAACAGGCCUCCUAAAACAGUCUCACCGUAGAUUCCCUAGAUCGCCUUUAUGGAGUCAAAUAGUCCCAAAUUCAGAGAUAUGGCCUAAUACAACAGGCGUCACGGGACACUUAACAAAGUGGAGGCAUUAAAGGAGGCAUUUAAAAAAUGAAUAAGAAAACGUAUACAAGUUCGCAGACUUCUUGUUGGAGCUCAAAAUGAGCUGGGUUGUGGACUUUCUUUUUUAAAAGGAGUUAGCGGUUCAUGCUUUCAUAAUGCAGCUUUGUAAAUUUAUCUGAUAAAUACAAAAUGGCUUAUGUGCUUCUUUCAAUAGUGAGAAGCUGAAGCCCAGUUUUCUAGUUUGCAGCUGCGAUCAUUGUCUCUUAUGUGUUUUUACAGAACUUAAUAUAACUUGAACUCAGUCCUGUAAUUACUCAAAGGCUCUGUUCCAUCAGAUGUGCCCGACAGGAGCAGUGGUGCUUGAUUUAUGUCAGAUUUCACUUUCUGUUGGCCCACAAUACCAGGCGUGACUUCAACAUCUUGUGUCCAUAUUUUGCUCAGGUAAGGUUUGAGAAAACAAUGAGAACUGUACAGUUAUGUGCUUGGCUAAUCAGUUUGCUCAUUUCUAUGUGUUUUUGAGGUUUUGCCCACCACAGCCCUGCCCACAUGUGGGCACUAUGCUGGAGAGGCUGUCAGGGAAUGGAACAAGGAGCUUCUUCAGAGGCAAUCGUGAUUUGUCAUGACUUGUUCCAGCUGUGGCUCCCUCACACCACAGUUUUUGUACUCUCCAUAUUUUUUCACUUCUGUCAUCACCUGAAGAUGAGUCCCAUUUAGAUGGGAAGUCUUCCAUUUAAAAUCUAGGUCUAUUCUGUCCUGUCACAGGAAAAGUUCUGUGUUCGGAGUGGUGGUUAGCACUGCUUGUGUCUGAGCCCCCUGCAAUAGGGUCAGAAACAAAAAGAAGUUGAAUGGGCUGGUCUUGAGAUGCAAACCAUUCACCACCUGGCAUGGAGCACUCUGGGCAGAAGCUGCUGUGUAUCACUGGCCGAGAUCAGCUGUAGCCUGAUGACACGGUGAUGGCCACACUCCCCUCUCUCCUCAUCCCCAUGCUGGGUGCUAGUGUGUUGCCACACCAACUCCACUAUGGCGGGGACUAUCCAGCAUAUCACAAGGAAGGAGCACAUAUGGAGGGGGGCUGGAGAGGCUCCCCCAGCUCUGGAUGGUCCUGCAGGGCUCCCUGCAGCAAGGCUGAAGGCCCUGUCAUGAUACAGGGAGCAUACCCUGGAGACUUCCUGCAGCCACUGGGAAGUGCCGGGAAUGGACAGCACUGUGACCUGCAGUUCAUUGCCCAGCUGUGUCUGCUGCAGCAUUCCAGCACAGAUGGUGGCCCCAUCCGGCACCCAAUGCCAGGGUGGCUGGGACCUUGCAUCUCUGCCUUCCUGAUGGCAGCUGUGCCCUGUUCCCCACUGCUAGGCAUUUGCUGCCUCCCUACCCUGGUGGUGCUACUCUCAGCAAUCCUGAGCGUAGACAGGAGUCAAAGUUGUUUUUAUUUAUUCAAAUCCCAUUUAGCAUCCAUCAAGCUUAAAAAUCACGAUUACCUCUUGUACAAUUUUGUUUCAUAGGAAAGUAAUUAAUUUAGCAAUUAAGCUGUGCCCAGAACAAAUGAUGUAAGAGCACUCUGUGUGGGCUAAAUUAGUACCUGCUGUGACACAAUGCCAGCAUCUGUCUGGUUUAGUGACAUUUAUUUUAAACAGUCAGAGUGGAGAUGCUGCACCCUGUGUAAUUUUACUGAUGGCUUCAUCCCAACCAGAGACCCAGAGUCGACUCAGUAGUGUCCGCUGGAGCAUGCUCCAUUUGGUCAGCAGUGAAAAAGAAGCUUACUCUGAUGCCUUUUCUCUGUGUCAGGGAGGGUGUUUUAAAUUUGAGUUUGCUGGCCAGGUGGGCAUUGUUUAUGCCUCAAGCAGUGUGGGAAGCUCUGGAGAAAGAAAUGCUGCUCCUGAGAGCGUGAGGUACUUCAGCCAUUUAGACGAACAUUUCUAUUAUAUCAGUGCACUGAAUCUUCCUCCAAAUUUCUAGAGUGAGGCUUUCUACCAGCACUGGAAACUGCCAAAGGGCCUGGUGGGAGGGAAGCGUCCUGCCCCAUUCUCUCAGUGGUGUUACUACCCUAAGGGAUUUGCUCCAGACAGAGAGCUCCGCUUCUGGAGAAGGGUGAUUUUUAUGGUAGGCAAACAUAGGUUGCCAUGGAUUUCUGGCUGCUGAGGUACAUUCUCUGUUUCCCUAAGGAGCCUGUAGCAGCAGGCAAUGUGGUGUUACAUGGGAAAGACUCUGUUUUCCCUUGGUGGGAAGAAGGCUGCAGGUCUGGGGCAGAAACCCUCCUGCUGAUGUGUUGAGGGGAGCACUGGAGGCACCCCACGUUCCCAGAUACAGAGGGUGUUUCUGUUUUUGCUGCCUCUGCCUACAGGAAGGGUGUCAGCAUGGUGUUGGAGUAGAAUCACCUUAAAGGCAUAUUUUUGAGAGGAAAUUCUAUAGAAGGAAGCGUGUUUAUGCCUGUGAUGUUUAUUUUUCUCUGUAGGAAAAGAGAUAUUUUUUAAUGUAGUUACUUGUUAACUAUUUAUUUAGUGGGUCUAGUUAAUUUUGACUGUUUCAUUUCCUAGGGGACCAGACAUCAACAGCUUCAGAAAAAUUUGACAGCUUAAGUUUUCUUGCAACUUUGAUAAAAUGCUGUCAGCAGGACAGCAGAGCAUUCCUUAAGCCUGUCUCCAAUCUGUAUAGCCCUAACUAUUGCUCUUAGUUUCAUGGGAGAAAUGAACCUUGUCUACUGUUCUUUUGACCUUUGUGGGAUGAUAACUAUACAGAGAAUGAUAUGUUUUCUCUGGGUCAUACGAGAAGACUCUUUGACACGAGCUUGGGAGAGCUGAUCUGGGCAGCAGAACGUUGCCCAGUCCCUUGCCUAACUUCCAGCUGUGGAUGCUGUACAUCUACAAAGGGCAAUUACACCUUCAACUGAGACUUGAGGAAUCCUUGUCAUGGGAAGAAAAGCACAGAAGGUGAUGUGCUUCUGGUCACCUGAUGACUUACAAGGUCUCUUUCUUCUCACAUUAUCCUUUCAGUGCAUGGAUGAAAGGAAGGAAAAGGCUGCUCAAACUGGCAGGUUCUCCUAACCAUGUGUCCUUCUGGCAGCUGUGUGGAUGCGAUGGGGAUGGAAGCCCAGGACAGCCCAGUGAUGGAUAAGGUCUUCUGGAUGUUCUUUUCGGUUUUUGCAAAAGCCUUGUGAAGAAACUGCAAGGUCUCAGCAAGAAGACUGACUUUGCAUCAGAUCCAAGCCUCAGAGAGCCUCAAGCCCUGAGCUACUGCCAACCCACAGGGAAUGAGUCUGAAGGGUACUGUUUGGCAACAGUGGAACCCAAGAGAGUGUUUAGCUGUAGAUGCAAUAUGAAUUGUUCCUGCAGUUUAUUUUUACAUGCUUAGAGGUUGAAUGAGUUUGGAAGAUUUGGAGAGAAUCAGAGAAUUAGCAGAAUGAAUUAUUAUUGGUUAUUUAUACAAAAUGAGAAAUAUAUUUCCUGGUAGAACAUUGUGUGUCCAGGGAUGAUGAGAGGUGCUUUUGCAGAAAUGCUGGUGGGGAAAUAUUUAAAAGAAGAUUUUUUUCCCCCAAUAAGGAAGAGACCAAGAUACAGAAAAGUUCCCCAAUAUGGAGGCACCAUGGAAAGAUUGGUCUGGGAAACCUAGGCAGGAGAUGCUGAGAGUCUGGCAGGAGAGGACUCUGAAGCCCCAUUCCUGGCCAGUUUGGUUUGGAGGGUUAAGGUAUAUGUGGCUAAUCUUUUCAUGUCAGCUAUCCCACUGUGCAAGAGAGCUAUAGUGUACCCCUAUGAGGACAUUUCACCUGUAGAAACAAGAUAGGACCUGGCACCAAGGGACCCUCUUUGGAAACAUGUGGUAGAGACAAAAUCAACACUGAAAGACUGUGAAAAAUAAAUGUACAAAGAUAUUCUAGGAUGUCUUUUAGCUUUUUGAAAGAAGAGGGAUAUCCUAAGCAAAUGGGUAAACAGAACAGCCAGAAAGCUUUGGUAGGCAUGGGAGGAGCACAGGGGAAGACUUUGUUCCCUGGUUUAGCUGCUUCUUGGCACAGAAAAUGGGAGCACUUUCUCCAAGGGGCCAGUGACACAGCCAGCCAUGUUUGUAACCUUCAGCUGCAUGGCAAGAACACUGAAAGUAUUGUCCACACAAAGUCAUCAAACUGUUACUGGAUGCAGCAUUAGGAUCUCAUCUACUGAAGCAAAAAUAGACACGUGGAUCCACCUUGGGCAUGCAGUACAUGAUUAAGAGCAUGUCACCUUUCUCCAUUUUAGCGUGUUUUUAACCAUGCUCAGUGGACAGGAUCAUCAGAAUAUAGAUUAACAUUACUGGUCAAAUUAUAUGAAAGUUCUGAAAUUUCUAAACCCUUCCCUCUUUUCUCUAAGUAAGUGCUGGUUUUAACAUUGCUUCUCAAACAAGGAGAUUAUUCAAACCAGUUUCUCGUUAGUCACAUCAUCACCAAACUAUGAGGUCUGAAACAAGUCAGACCAAAGCCUGUGUCUGCCCUAAUUGAGAAUAGGAGGAAUCUAAAGGGACCUGGAUUGUGUGCGAACCCUGUGGUGAUGGUAGUGAUGGCAGUGCCAGCCCUAAACAUUCUGUUUUUAAGGUAUCUUGUGGACAUCCAUUGCUUAUGUUUGACAGUGCACUUGUACUGGGUAUUCCCAGGCACAUGGGACCUUCUACAGACUGAAGGGCAUCCUCAGGUGAUGGGGCUGGAGGCCUAGCAGCUAUAUGGGUGGUGAAAUCAACCUGGAGAGAGUCCCGAAGUGCCACAAGGGAAAGGCACAGUGGAUGUGCUGUGCAUGUGAAUGAGAGUGUUCACACACACACAUGCGUGUAUAUGCAAUAUUGGUCCCUCCUGUGAUAAAUGGCUCUAAGUGAAGCUUUGUGAAAUUUUGAAUUUCUGUUUUUCAGAACAGCGCAAACUGUGGCAAAAAACCAGGAAAAAUUGUUUCCUGGAAUUAAAACAGUCAUGUUCAGAAAUGUUUCCAUGUUCCGUUUUGACAUUUUUUGGAUCAAAGUGAAGCAUUUUGACAUUUGUGAGGACCUUCUUUGGGUCUGACUUCCUUGAUGCCUGACUGCUCUCUGGCUUCCUCCCUCUCCUACUAACAAGCUGAGAUUAUCCCACAGUGGGAUGCAAAGUAAAUGCAGACUGACCACCUGAAGAGCUCUGCAUCACCGAGCAUGGGGAAGAAUAAUGUGCUCACCAGUUACAUAGCUGGUAAUUUAUCCACUGGAAGGGAGAGGUCUGCAGGAGCCAAAGAAAUCAGCUCCACAGACACCUGACCUAGGGACUAUUGCAGGACUGUCUCCAGACUUUUCUUUGAAGAUGACACACCAGGAAAGUGCACCUAUACCAACCGAACCACCUGGACCACUAUGCUGAAGAGUUUGGCAUGCAUUUUCAAUUGGGAAGAUUCAGGUGUGCACUGAUACAACUCGUCCAAACUCAACAGAGCUGAUCCUGAUGUACACAAGGACACUCAUAUUCAGAUUACCCAGCUCUCCCCCUCCUCUUCCCCUCAAGGUCUUUCUGCUCAUGUCAUGUGGAAUGGCAUAAGUUCAGGUAUGGAUCAGAGAGACUUUGAAAUGGAAAAUCAGAGGAUACUGCAGGCCAUAUUGGAGAAGAGCUGGCAGUGGUGAGGGUUAGGACUAAGAUAGGCUUGUACGGGGUGCUGUGUUUGGAGUCCCAGAGGCCAAAAAUAACGAAUACUUGCAGAACUCCAUGUGAGUAACAAAUGGCUUAUCCUGUCUAGUCUAAUGAUAAAAUGUUACAUAGUGGGAUUUUAAAAAUAAAUAUGUUUGGUUUGGGUUUUUUUUGUUUGUGGAGUUUUUUUUGUUGUGUUUUUUUUUUUUUAAAGAAAGAUUAAAGCAACCGCUAUAGCUAAACACACUGCUUUGCUCUGAUAAGAUGCCAAAAUUACACGACUUCUACUGUGUAACACAGUUCUUCGUGUGGGCGUAGCAACCCCUCCCCAUACCUAGCGGAUACACUGUAGGGAAUUUUUGCAAAUGUGAGUAUUGCCUCUUGUAAGGUCAUCCACUAAAGAAAGUUAAAUACGUUGUAUGAAGAAA